AGGAGGCUGUGGCUGCGGCCGGUCGGUGCCCGCUGAGGGAGAUGGGGCCGGAGCGGCGUCGUGCUGCCGGCCCGGAGCAACGCCGCGCUCUGUGGGGGCUGUUCGGUUGUCCAGGCUCUUAAGCACAUGGAAGAGAAAGUUGGGAAUUAUCUGCAAAUGGAAAUGCGAUGAUGUGCUCUGUAGGCUGGCAUGCAGAAUGCAGGCUGUGCUGGAGGCAGCACAGUGCUGAGUGAAGGGCUCCCACCAGGCGUGUCCCUUAUUGGGUGCUCCCAAGAACAAGUGGAAUUCCCUAAUUUGGGAGAAAGCUAUUCAGCUGGGAGCUGGUUUCAUGUCACCGUAUUGGAAGUCUGCCCUGGUACACACUGAAAGAAAUUGAAAGCUUUUAGCUGGGAUUGGGAACUGGAGUGAGACGCUGUAUAUGAGUGAGUCUCUGGCCUUUGUUGCUGGGAAGAGAUAGCCAAAUUACGAAUCAAACAUCUUCAGAUAUGAAUGUCUUGAGAACUGAAACAGAGAACUUCCUCAGAGACCAGCUGUGAGCAGAAUGCACUUCCUGCAGAGCUAAGAGCAGCCAUCCAGUGUCAGCACGCAGCCAUGAGGGACUCUGGAGUCUUCUGUGAAGAAGGAGCCUGGUCAGUGCGUGGGGCCUCAGCGCAGUGCAGGGAGGUGGGUGAGACCCCGCUCAGAGCCAUUGGCAGUGCUGCAGACGGUACAGAUCAGGUGCUUCCCAGAAGGGCAGCCUCAGGAUGCCUUUUGUUCCAUUUCAGAAGAAAACGUUUCCAAGAAUAACAUUAGGCAGAUCGGAGUUAUCACAUUUCUGUUAUUUUGUUGUUGGUUUUCAAUUCCUGCAGAUGUUUGCCUGAAAACCUGUAGCAUCCACGUACUCCUGAGGAAGGAGCACGGUUUGUCAGAGCUGCUCCGUGUCAGAAACAAUCUCAAAAGCAAAUGUAUGUGACUAAAUACAAGCUUCUAAAAACCUGCCCUGUAUCCGCAGUCAGCAGAGGCGCAGUACCAGCAGGCAGCUGGGUUGUGCCCGGCACAUCUCGGUGGUGUGAGAGAUCCUGCAAGAUGUGCGUGGCGUUCUUGUGGCACAGAUCCCAGCACAGGCAGCAGUGAGGGAUGUGGAGUGUGAGCAGGUAGGGGGCAUUUCCACAGCACUUCAGGCCAACUCAGCGCAGAAGUGUUUGCAGUCUGAAUCAGCAACAGAGCACGUAGCACAUGAGAGGUCCAGAACAAGUUGUGGUGAUGGCUUCCAUUUCACCUGAAAGGAACAGAGCAAACUGGAACUUGUAACUGUCAGCAGAGCAAGACAGAAUUUGGUUUCAAGUAAUGAAAACGUAAGUUGUGUUCUAUCACACAGAGUUAUGUUCUUCUCCAUGCAGCUGUAUGCUGAGGUGUGAUGGUGGGAUGCUCUAAACAUUCUAUUCAUUUUUCCUGGUGGGGUAGCAGAGUCUGUUACAAAAUAUAAAAUUAAGGAAGAAAUGUUGCCAGAAUCUAAACCUGGAUUUCAUUAGGGGGUGUUGUCAUUUCACUAUAAAAUACAUCUGUUACAGCGUUCCAUAAAGUUUAGGCACACAAUAGAGUAAUAAACUGAUUUUAUAACUUGGGUAAUACUCCACCAUCGACUUGCUCCCCCCUGCUGUGUGCAUUGUAUUACCUCAGUACAGAAACGUUUGCGCACUGCAUGGAAAGUGGGUUGGUAUUGCAGCCAGUGGAAGUGUUCAGAAUGGUGUAUGAGAUGCGUCUUGUAGAGAGGACAGGCAGCAGCAGGAGCUGCGCUGUGAUUCACUGCAAGCAGUUAUCUGGGCAGCACAGAGCCCUUCCUCUGAGCCCGUGUGGCUGCACAUCCCAACGCCACCACUGAUAACAGCAGUGGAAACCCCACGUAAAGGUUUCUGGAAGCACCAGUGCUGUCUGAGCAGGGCAACAGCACCAACCCAGCAGCUCUGGGACGAAGCCAGCACAUCCCUUCACAACACCGUAAUCUGGCAGAGAUGCACUUAAUGUUGUCUUCCACAUUUCCUGUGUAGACAAAUCCCUUCCCUGGAUGUUUCCUGGAUUAACACAGUCUCAUCCUCAAAUAAGACACAAAGAGGUCUGAGGAGAUGAGUAUCUACAUGGGAUUGAUACAGUUCUGCUCACGUGUUCAUGGGAAUGUUUCAAUAAGUAUUGACAGGGGGAUGAAUCACGUACAUUCUUGGCAGCCAAGCUCAAGUUCACAAGAAUGCUCAGUUUGAUCAACUUCCUUCAAAAUACAAAGCUCAAAGUGAAGAGGAAAGCAGAGAGAAAGGAACUUGGAUGGCUUUCCAUGCAGUAGACAUUACAAGAUGGACAUCCAAGCAGGAAGACAAUAAAUCUACUGUGCAAAUUGUUUUGCCCAAAGCAAAUCACUGAGCUGCUGUUAAAGGAAGGUUCAGGCUAAAUUAAGAAAAUAAGACUGGAAGGGGGGAAAAUAAAGAAGAGGAGAAGAGCCGGGGGAAAGAAAGAGAACCCUGCCAGCCUGGCAGGCAUGGAUAAUUGUACUGCUAUCUUCGGGAUUCUGGUAUUCCAAGAUUUGCAGAAGAUUCUACUUAUUUACAACGUUACAGCAUCAGGCAACGUGUGAUUCUCGCUAUGACCAAAUUCUGUAUUUCAGUUAUUUGCUUGUUAUCCAUCCUGCAGUUUUAGUGAUGGUGAUGAAUAAAACCACCCUUGACACUGAAAGGUGCUUCUUUUUAAACCUUAGUCUUCAGAUUUUAUGAGCUCUUAACACAGAAGGCAAAGGUAACAUAAAGCAGAGACUGAAAGAAAACAGCAGGAAUCUGUGUGUGUCUGGGAUCGCUGCGGAGCUUUUUAGACAAGCAAGUGAAAGCAAUGGCUGGGGUGGGAAGAAGGUUCAAAAUAGCUGUAGGCUGAAAGACCAUGUGGAAGACCAGGAGACAAGCAGUGAUAAUGAUAGUCAUCUAACAGGGAUACACAGCUGUGAAACACGCUUAGAGUGAAACGUCCUUCAGUUUGGACACUUUCUGAGCCACGUUACCCUCUGCUCAUGUUCUAGUAGCGCAUUACAGACUGUUGGAGGCUUUUCACAUUCACGGUCUCCUGUGCAGAUGUCACUCAGAAUUUCCACGCAGCAUUUUAGGGGCUGGUAGUCCUGGGCCCAGUUUUCAUAGAGCUUUUCAGAUGACAACACGCAAUUUUAUGUUUCUAACGCAAAGAGCAGACAAUGGAAGUAGUUGCUGCCGCCCAUCUGUCCUCGUUGUGAUUUUACUGAUCUAUAGUGUUCAGGCCAUGCCAUUUUAUUCAUGCAAGUGACUGAUCUCAUGGAAAACAGUAAAUACCUUCUCUCAGUUUUCUGGCAUCCUUCUUUGCUGAUAAAGAAAUGUAAACAAGUGCAAAGCACACAGGACCUCAGCUCUCAGAGCACACAGAGGUGUUACUGUAGCUUUUCCUCUGCUCGGUAUAUUUUUCUCUCUUCCAAGAAAACAGGUGAGGUUUGUUGGCAGGGGUUUCAUAUGCUGCUUUGUGGUGCCUGGACAAGCUGUCACUUUGCUUCCUUCCCACAGGCAAUCCAAACAGGCGAGGCUGCCUCUGGAGCCCCUCUGUGCCUCUGAUCACCUGCCACUUCUUCUGGCAGUGCUUGAGCAGGAGUGCUGGGCUCAGGGCUUACAGCACCAUACAGCUAUGACAGGUACCCGGUACAAGGCCAGCUCAACUGGCACAACUGCCAUGAAAGGCAGUUUACUUAGGAUAACGAGACACAGCAUCAGGCUCACAGCACAACUGAAAAUGGCCAUGUGUCAAAGCAGUGUCAAUGGCAAGGAGUAUCAGAAUUUCUGCAGAUUGCCAAGGACAAGACCUAAGUCUUACAGAUAUCCCCUUGAGCUUUGUGCCCAGACAGCAGCCCGGAACCAUGCAACUGGACAUCCCUUCUCAUGCAUGACUCCUCAUGCGUGGCAUCCCUUCAUUACUUGUGUACUAACAGUAUGACCCAAUGGCUGCCCACAAUCUAAUACUUGACCCACGCUUGUCUGCAAUGUUCUUGCUUUUAGUGGAUGUUCCCCAUGUGCGGUCGCCUUGUAUUACAUGGCCUUACUUAACUCGUGGUCACUUCUGUCACCUAUUUCCCACACUUCCAUACAAAAGCAGACUUCAUAAAAACAGAGACACAAACAGUUUCUUUUAAAAAAGCUCAUCACUUCUGUCUAUAGCUGACCUCUAUGCCAGUUUCCACUGUGGUCUGAUUCAGCGUGUAUGGAAUAUAUGAGUGCACGUAGUUAAAUCUCUCUUACAGUUUGACUUUCCUGUUUCAUAUUGGCUCUCCCUUCUUCACUGUGCAUUGCUGAUGUCAGUCUGCAAUCUGUCUAGUUCUCUUCCUCUGAACUAUGUGUCUUUUUCUUAUCCUCAGUUGUACUUCCAUGCCCAUCUGUACCAUUAUUUUAAUUAUCUUUGAACAAAUAUUCAUAGUACUUCUGAACACAUGUCAGUGCCCAUUUUUUUAUCCAAUCUCUUCCUUUACUCUGUUUUAUGUUCAGUUUCCUCUCACGAUUUAAUCAGUAGAAAUUAUAUGCUAUUAUUAUCUUUUCCUUUUGAGCUGAUUUAGUCAUAAUAACAAGGCUUAAAGGGAACGAGCCAAGUCUUGCUGCAAGAUCUGAUCCAAAGCUCAUUACCAUGGUCACUAUUUUUCUGUUCAUCUUCCUACUAGAUUUCCCUGCUUCUAUAGACUCUUGUCAGAUCUGAUAACAUCUUAGAUGAAAAAUGCUUUCCUCUGAGUCCCGCGUCUAGCCUACACCGUGCAUUGUGUUGGGAACCUAAAAGGUGUUCAAACGGUAUCUGAUCUGACACCUUCUUGCAGGAUGCUCUGUUCUGAAGUGCUGCUUUUCCUUCUAUUGCUUCUGAUAAGGCAGCCCACUAGAAGUGUUCACUUUUGACUCAGUUCUACCCUUUGGGUGGAAGGGAACCAUUUACAUGUUUGUAAGUCAGGAUGCUGGUAACAUAUCUGGUUUUAAUUUUCAGGGAUACUGGACUGGCAGCCCUGUUGAAACCCUUGGUUAGUACCUUUAUUCUCUCUAGCAAAAACUUUAGCCUCCGCUGUGACAGUUCCCUCUGUGUGACAUUUUGUUGACAAUCUCCCAGUUAAUCAUAGAAUCCCAGAAUGGCUUGGGUUGGAAGGGACCUCAAGGAUUAUCGAGCUCCAACCCCCCGCCACAGGCCGGGCUGCCAAAUUAGCAGACCUCCAUCAGGUUUUUCUGGUGAGCCACCUAGUAGGUCCAUUUCUUGUUGUGCUUUUGGGAAGGAGACAUUUAGCUUUACUGAGCAGGCAUUAACUGCAAGCAGGUAACAAAGAAGGACUCACUUUAAAGAAAGCUUCUGGAGCUUUGUUUGGGUAGAUUACAGUCUGUCGUGUGAGUCAUCUCUGUCUCUUCUGUCGGGGUUUAAUCUAAAAUAUCUCAGAUUUCCUUUAUGUGUGAGCUAUUCAGUGGAUAAAGCUGUGUGUAAUUUUACGCUGAUAUAAUAACUUAUGUCUGUGUUCUCAUGAAAUGAGACAUCUUUUCUGCUUUCCAGAGUUUAUGUUUCCUGUAAACCAACUAAAUCACAGGAAAGAGAUUUCUUCUGCGUUCCAAGCUGGCAACAGAAAACAACAAAACACCAGAUUCAGGUUGACAGCUGAAAAACACUGAGUGCAUGUUUUUCUUAAUAAGCUCACAUGAAAAUAUGUGCAGUUCAUUAUAAAGAAAGCAAUAUAAAUUCCCUAGCCGUCAAUAGUUUUUAAACUGUAUAGCUCAAUCUAACACAAAAAGUAGAUAGUAGAUGCUUUAAAAAACAAUUCGUUUUCCAAUGGCUAGAGCUACGAAGGAUUGUAAUACCAGACCAUCAAAGUAGGUACAGUAAAUUAUCAGAGAAACAAAUACAGACUUCCCUUAAAUCAAUGCCAAACUGUGCCAGUGGGCUUUGAGGCAUCACGUUAGGAUAGUGAUAGCGCACAGAAGGAGCUAUUCAUCCAGAGAUUUCUUAGUCCUUCCAAGAUGUGGGAAUCAUUUCGUUUUCCUAACAGACAGGGAAAAUGAGGCGCAGAUGCAAAAAGGUUUGCUGACAGUCUCAGAAUGUGUGAAUGAAUGGAGAAAAGCUGAAAUGUGCUGCCUUUGGCUCCGCAGGCCUCAUUACUAUUGGCACCAAUAGGAAAUGUUCUAUUAGAGUUAUCACCCUUUUGAGGUGUUGGAUGGUCUCUGUAUGGUUGCAAAACAUUCUUGCAUGGAUCUAUGUAAGGGCAGGGUGCAGUUUACAGUCUCCAUGGGCCACACACAUGGCUCAUUCCUUCCCACAUGCCCCAUCGCUGCUUUCCCACCCCAUGCUCCUCUAGGAACUUCCUGGUCCCCAGCUCUCACCUUUGUACCAGUGACUCUGGGGAUUCCUUUGGAUUUUCUUCUCCCAUACACUGGAGAAGAAAAGUGGCUCAUUAGUUCCCUCAGGGUUCCCCACAGUUCCCUCUUUUUUUUUUUCUGCUCUUUACCUCUCUACACAGGCGCUCUGUACAGCUACCCGUAUCCUCACCUGUCACAGAGUCCCUUGCAUAUUGCACCAGGACUUGUGUUCCUCCCACGCCUUUUCUAUCUGUCUGGAGAGUGAAUCAUUUCUGCGUCUGUGACAGGAAGGGCAGAGCCAUGCUGGGGCACUGUUUAUGCUGGGAGAAGAUAACAGCAACUGUGCCUGACCUUUGAUGAAAAGAAUUACAGGCCAGAUUGAUGGCUACUGGAUGCCCUCACCAGAUGCCAGGGCCUCGUAUAUCCUGCAUUUUCCCCCUUCUCGGGAUGAGAAGGACACUGCCUAUGGAUGUGUAAAAACAUUUCCUAACAGUUUGGAAUUGGUUGGCUGUGGUGUUCAAAAGCCAUCUGCACUGCAUCUGAAGAAAGGAAUGUCACCAAGAUGACUGUAAGGACUUGAAAAGUUGGCCGACCGAUUCCCAAGCAGAGAGCACAGCUGGCUGCUGUUGGUGAAAUUCCACACAGACUCACGACAUUCCUGCCGCCCUUUCAGGCUCCGGUUGAAGUCAAUGAUUGACACCAAGUGUGGGGCGGGGGGCAGAGUACGUAGGAACAUGGGUCUUUGUGAAAUUCAGUGUUGAACCCUCUAUAUGAGGGUCAUAAAGGCAGUCUGAGCAUCCACAAUGCCUUUGCCAAUGAAGUAAACCUGGGUUUGUGUUUCCUCUGCAAAGCUGAGUCAGUUUCAAAGCAAGCUUUGCCCUGAUGCAUCCAUUUUGUGUUGAAAUCAAAUUCCUGUUCUUAUAUUCUCUACUCCUUUGCCGAUAAAAACAAGUUUGAUCUCAUAGAUGUAGUCCUGAUAAAAAUAAAUGAGGUUAUCCAAACUGCAGUUAGAACUUAGUUUUUCACCUGCCUACCUUACUGAACCUUUGUCUGUCAUUAAUGUUAAUUCUCACUGCCAUUAAACAAAUUAUAUUUACUUCACAGGUUGGGCUGCCUAAGCAGCGUUGGACUCUGAAUGCCUGUUUCUAACUAGUUUAGCAUUGGAUUUGGGAAGAAUGAUUUCCCAGUAUCACUCUGCAAACAAAACAGAUGUAUUAAAACAAGAACAUGUCAGUGGUGUUUACCCAAGUCCUUUUUCCUCGCACAUUGUUCACUGCACAUCACAGUAAUUUGGUUCUAGACAUUUCCUAGUAAAGGAUGUUGCUAUCAGCAAAUUCUUUGAGUACUCUCACACAUAUAUGUGCACAAU
Coturnix japonica (Japanese quail) is the source of this 7707-nucleotide non-coding RNA. NCBI's taxonomy places the organism in Eukaryota, Metazoa, Chordata, Aves, Galliformes, Phasianidae. The record is from RefSeq and is a predicted model, not a curated record.